UGGGGAAUCUUGGACAAUGGGGGCAACCCUGAUCCAGCCAUGCCGCGUGAGUGACGAAGGCCCUAGGGUCGUAAAGCUCUUUCGCCAGGGAUGAUAAUGACAGUACCGGGAGAAUAAGCUCCGGCUAACUCCGUGCCAGCAGCCGCGGUAAUACGGAGGGAGCUAGCGUUGUUCGGAAUUACUGGGCGUAAAGCGCGCGUAGGCGGCUAUUCAAGUCAGGGGUGAAAUCCCGGGGCUCAACCCCGGAACUGCCCUUGAAACUAGGUAGCUAGAAUACUGGAGAGGUGAGUGGAAUUCCGAGUGUAGAGGUGAAAUUCGUAGAUAUUCGGAAGAACACCAGUGGCGAAGGCGACUCACUGGACAGUUAUUGACGCUGAGGUGCGAAAGCGUGGGGAGCAAACAGGAUUAGAUACCCCGGUAGUCC
This 424-nucleotide ribosomal RNA is filed under the name uncultured prokaryote. RNAcentral's name for it is "bacterial SSU rRNA". It matches the Rfam family "Bacterial small subunit ribosomal RNA", at positions 355 to 796 of the family's 1533-position model. The record is from RNAcentral.